UAGCUCAGUUGGUAGAGUAUUGUAUUAAUACUGCCAUGGUUAUGGGUUUGAUUCCCACUGAGGCCA
Merluccius polli (Benguela hake) is the source of this 66-nucleotide non-coding RNA. The record is from the annotation of a GenBank genome assembly. NCBI's taxonomy places the organism in Eukaryota, Metazoa, Chordata, Actinopteri, Gadiformes, Merlucciidae.